AUGCAGCAAACCCAUUUUCCAGGUCAAGAAGCAAACACAUACUUGCUUUAUUAUUCACUUAUGUGCGGUCGUGCAAACUCUCUUAUCACAUUUGAUUCUCUUAUCAUAUUGGUUCCGUCACUUGACGUAGAAUUACCGAACAACCUGUUGCUAGAAAUUAGUAGAAUCUCACAUAUUGUAUGUAGAGCAUGUAUGCUGAGUGUAUUUUUAGAAGAUCCGUCAAUAUAUCUUUCAUGCCGGUCAAAGCGAAAAGGAUUCAGAUAUUUCAAGAAAUAUAUGAAUGAGGCAAAUCAUUUUUAA
This 300-nucleotide ribosomal RNA is filed under the name Triticum aestivum (bread wheat). RNAcentral's name for it is "partial small subunit ribosomal RNA". Lineage: Eukaryota; Viridiplantae; Streptophyta; Magnoliopsida; Poales; Poaceae. The record is from RNAcentral.